GUGAACGCUGGCGGUAGGCCUAACACAUGCAAGUCGAACGGCAGCACAGUAAGAGCUUGCUCUUACGGGUGGCGAGUGGCGGACGGGUGAGGAAUACAUCGGAAUCUACUUUUUCGUGGGGGAUAACGUAGGGAAACUUACGCUAAUAUCGCAUACGACCUACGGGUGAAAGCAGGGGAUCUUCGGACCUUGCGCGAUUGAAUGAGCCGAUGUCGGAUUAGCUAGUUGGCGGGGUAAAGGCCCACCAAGGCGACGAUCCGUAGCUGGUCUGAGAGGAUGAUCAGCCACACUGGAACUGAGACACGGUCCAGACUCCUACGGGAGGCAGCAGUGGGGAAUAUUGGACAAUGGGCGCAAGCCUGAUCCAGCCAUACCGCGUGGGUGAAGAAGGCCUUCGGGUUGUAAAGCCCUUUUGUUGGGAAAGAAAAGCAGCAGGUUAAUACCCCGCUGUUCUGACGGUACCCAAAGAAUAAGCACCGGCUAACUUCGUG
Molecule: ribosomal RNA, 491 nt
Filed under: uncultured bacterium
Lineage: Bacteria
Description: partial 16S ribosomal RNA
Rfam family: Bacterial small subunit ribosomal RNA
Source: RNAcentral